Long non-coding RNA from Camelus dromedarius (Arabian camel), 820 nucleotides. RefSeq lists it as uncharacterized. The record is from RefSeq and is a predicted model, not a curated record. The transcript has 3 exons. Lineage: Eukaryota; Metazoa; Chordata; Mammalia; Artiodactyla; Camelidae.
UGGAGGAGGGGAGCCCAGGGUCCUGUUCUCGUGUUUCUUUGUGUUAUUUCUGUUUGUGUCCUGCGGAGAAAAUCCCUAACCAAAGGGAAGGUGUUGGUAAUUGUGACUCUUUUGAAAUUGGAAACUUUUGUUCAUAAAGAUGCCCCUGAGAUAAAUUAGGAGUUUGGGAUCUGCAGAUACACGCUUCUAUUCAUAAAACAGAUAAACAACAAGAUCCUACCGUUCAGCACAGGGAACUAUAUUCAAUAUCUUGCAGUGACCUAUAAUGACAAAGGAUAUGAAGAAGAAUAUAUAUGUAACUGAAUCACUAUGCUGUACACCAGAAACUCACACAACACUGUAAAUCAACUCUACUUCAAUAACAAACAAUACAGUUUUAAAAAGAUGCCCCUGAGAGCAUGAGGAGAAGUGGAGAGUGAAGUGGAGAAGCCAUCUUCGAAGCAGAGAACCUCAGAGGACAGGUGUAAGAUGCAAAAGGACUCCUACAAACGACUAAGAAAUGGACAUCCCGGUGGAAAAGAAAUGGUCCAGGGGUGGAAGACCCGUUCACAUUCCAACCCGGCGACUGCAGUCUGCAGCGCGGGCCCGGGGGGAGAAUGGCCCACCUGUCCCGGACGGCACAGGAGCCUUGAAGCAUCAUGGUCACCAAGACAUGCCACCAUUUGGGCGAGAAGGACCUGCCAGCCCAGCGCUGCUGUUUUGCAGGCGAUCUGUCUUGUUCCCUCCGGCUGCUUCACGGGUCCCCUUGCUCCUUUUCUCCUUGUCUGGGGUGCCCUGCAUGUCCCUGGGAUGCGUCCCAGCGGGGAUUUGUCUGUGUUUG